RNAcentral lists this ribosomal RNA (526 nucleotides) under Coryphaenoides yaquinae. RNAcentral describes it as "partial 16S ribosomal RNA". It matches the Rfam family "Bacterial large subunit ribosomal RNA", at positions 1905 to 2591 of the family's 2925-position model. The record is from RNAcentral. Lineage: Eukaryota; Metazoa; Chordata; Actinopteri; Gadiformes; Macrouridae.
CCCAGUGACUAAGUGUUAACGGCCGUGGUAUCUUAACAUGCGAAGGUAGCGUAAUCACUUGUCUUUUAAAUGAAGACCUGUAUGAAUGGCAAAACGAGGGCUUAACUGUCUCCCCUCCCCAGUCAAUGAAAUUGACCUCCCCGUGCAGAGGCGGGGAUAAAUAUAUAAGACGAGAAGACCCUGUGGAGCUUUAGACUUAGAAUAACCACGUUUAACAAACUCCCACACAAGAAAAAACUUAGUGAAGACUAUUUGAAUGUCUUUGGUUGGGGUGACCGCGGGGCAAAACUAAGCCCCCAUGAAGAUUGGGGAGAUAUCCCUAACACCAAGAGUUCCCCCUCUAAGCAACAAAAAUUUUGACUUUAAAACGAUCCGGGCUAACCGAUUAACGAACUCAGUUACCCCAGGGAUAACAGCGCAAUCCCCUUUCAGAGUCCCUAUCGACAGGGGGUUUACGACCUCGAUGUUGGAUCAGGACAUCCUAAUGGUGCAGCCGCUAUUAAGGGUUCGUUUGUUCAACGAUUAA